The sequence is a regulatory RNA element, 62 nucleotides long. It matches the Rfam family "Actino-pnp RNA". The record is from Rfam.
GCCGGUCCUCGGUAGUGGCUCUCGUGUCCGCCAGGACACGGGCGCUUCGAUCGAAGACCGGC